This 119-nucleotide ribosomal RNA is filed under the name Salmo salar (Atlantic salmon). The record is from RNAcentral. Lineage: Eukaryota; Metazoa; Chordata; Actinopteri; Salmoniformes; Salmonidae.
GCUUACGGCCAUAUCAGCCUGGGUACGCCCGAUCUCGUCUGAUCUCGGAAGCUAAGCAGGGUCGGGCCUGGUUAGUACUUGGAUGGGAGACCGCCUGGGAAUACCAGGGGCUGUAAGCA